GGCUGGCAUGCAUGUGGCUCUUGCAGUCGUAUGUAGCGCCUAGUCAUCCGUACGGGAAACACAUUCGGCCUUCACUGGUCGGUGUGCGGAUCGUACACUUUACUUUGAAAAAAUUAGAGUGUUUCAGGCAGGCAAUUGCUUGGAUACUGCAGCAUGGAAUAAUGGAAUAGGACUUUGACUUAUUUGUUGGUUUCUCGAAGUCAAAGUA
This 208-nucleotide ribosomal RNA is filed under the name uncultured fungus. RNAcentral's name for it is "partial small subunit ribosomal RNA". The stretch from base 90 to 208 matches the Rfam family "Eukaryotic small subunit ribosomal RNA", at positions 742 to 864 of the family's 1831-position model. The record is from RNAcentral. Lineage: Eukaryota; Fungi.